Molecule: ribosomal RNA, 253 nt
Filed under: uncultured bacterium
Lineage: Bacteria
Description: partial 16S ribosomal RNA
Rfam family: Bacterial small subunit ribosomal RNA
Source: RNAcentral
GACAGAGGGUGCAAACGUUGUUCGGAAUUACUGGGCGUAAAGCGAGUGUAGGCGGUCUGCUAAGUCGGGUGUGAAAGCCCCGGGCUCAACCCGGGAAGUGCACUCGAAACUGGCAGGCUAGAGUAUCGGAGAGGUUGGUGGAAUUCUCGGUGUAGAGGUGAAAUUCGUAGAUAUCGAGAGGAACACCGGUGGCGAAGGCGGCCAACUGGACGAAUACUGACGCUGAGGAGCGAAAGCGUGGGGAGCGAACAGG